Long non-coding RNA from Solanum pennellii, 2378 nucleotides. RefSeq lists it as uncharacterized. The transcript is spliced from 8 exons. The record is from RefSeq and is a predicted model, not a curated record. NCBI's taxonomy places the organism in Eukaryota, Viridiplantae, Streptophyta, Magnoliopsida, Solanales, Solanaceae.
AUUGGAAGGAUAAUUUUUUUUAUCGCCAACUCCACCUUCCUAGAAUAUAGACUCACGCCAUUAUUCAGUUUUUUACUUUCCUCAAUUGCUACCCACGUAGUACUUUAUGUGAAUCUUUUUCAUUUACCCCUAGAUAUAUAUACAAGCAUCUGUAAUUCAUUUGCAGUUCUUGGAUUCUUAGUUUUACAAUCCUUUCGAUUAAGCAAAAAGAAGAAGAUUUAUAAGUAAAAUGAGUUCAAAUCGUCAGUGGAUGUACAAAAGGUAACCAGAGGUUUGUAUGAUCCUGAAUUCGUAAAGGGUGUACAGCAAUUUAUUGAGUUUGCGAUGAAUCAUCCAGAAGAGAGGGAUGGUGAGAGACUAAGGUGCCCAUGUAAUCGGAAAAUAUGUCAAAAUAUGGGAUGGUUUGUGGACAUGAAAAAACAAAAUUUUUUGGUAUGAAAAGUCACGAUUGUCAUGUAUUCAUGCGAAGAUUGAUCCCUAUUGCAUUUCGUGAGCUACUGCCAGAAAAGAUGUGGAAAGCACUUACUAAGAUGAGCCUUUUCUUUAGGGAUCUCACUUCUACAGUACUGCAUGAAGAGGAUAUGGUAAGAUUUCAGCGAGAAAUACCUGAAAUUCUUUGUAAAUUAGAGCGUAUAUUCCCUCCUAGUUAUUUUGAAUUAAUGGAACACCUCCAUGUUCAUCUCGCUUAUGAAGUCAUGCUAGCUGGUCCGGUACAAUAUCGAUGGAUGUAUCCAUUUGAGAGAAAUCUGCGAAGAUAUAAAUGUUGUGUUCGAAAUAAGGCACAUGUUGAAGGAUGUAUAUGCAAUGCAUAUUUGGUUGAGGAAGGUUCAUCAUUCUGUUCACACUACAUCGAGCCUCAUUUUUAAUCACUUUACUUGUUUUGUUUAAAUUGUUCUUCAGGUUUUAUUUGGAACAGUUAUCCCUCACUCUCAGUAUGUGAUGUGAAGUAGUUGAUUCUGGAACUACAUUUUGAAUAGUGAUGCCACAUUUUUGUUCCUGUCCAAGUGUUUAUUUAUGUCCAGAUACAUAGAUACAUGUUCUUCUUAACUUUUCAAAGAUAUAGCACUUAGGGAAGGUGGACCAAGUAGAUAUUCUGAAAAAGAGGAAAGCAAAUUCACUGACAUCUCCUCCUAAGUUGAGUUCUACAGCUACUCAAGCACCAUUAUCGCCUGAACUAUCCAUACCAUUAAGUCGCAGUCCACAUAUCCGUACCAUCUUCAUGUGUGGGGAUUGAGGCACCUAGAAAUGAAAUCUUAUCAUCAAGUUCGUCCAAUACAACUAAUGGUACUCGUAUCCCAAUGGAAAUUGUCCUUGGAAGUCUGGAGCCGGGAACAAUGUAUCCCGGGCAAUCACAAAAUUUCUUAAAGGAAAGACUAGAUCCUGAAAGACAUGACUGGAAGUCAGUUACACCAGAAAUUAAGGACUUCUACUGGGAGGAGUUUAAGAAAUGAUUCCAAUGGGAUACUGCAAUUGAAGGAUCCAUAAAGGAAAACUUUAUGAGAAAUUGUGCAGAACGAUACAAGGGUAUGCUAUGUGAAGCAAGAUCCUCUGAGAAAUACCGCAAAAAAUAUCCCGAAAUCUGUUUGAGAUAGUUGGAAGCCUCACUUGGGAUACUGAGGCUUUUAAGGCCAAAUCUGCACAAUGUUCAAAAAAUUGUCUCAGUCAAAAAUGUGGCGAAGGUUCUGGUCCCUCACGCCAUACAGGAGGCUCCCGCACUCACCGAGAGCAUGCAAGACAACUGGAAAUCAUUCUAGGACGACCACCUCAUCCACAGGAGCUUUUGAAGAAGACACAUAUCAAAGCGAACAAUGAGUUUGUGGAUCUGAAGUCUAAGAGCACAUAUGAUGCUGUAGUGUCUAAGAUCACAUUUGCAUCUCAGCCUGUAGAUGAACCUGUCGAGUCUCCAGAAGUUGAUUUUUCAAAAAUUUACAUGGAUGAAGUGGGUGGAGUUAUGAAGGCAUGCAUCUAUGACCUAUUGUUGGUCCAUUAUCUUCUUCAUCUUCUCGACUUCAAGAUCAUGAUUUUGACACUCAGAGUGAAGGAAUGCGUCCAAGAUAUGAAGGAGGAGAUGAAGCAUGAGAUGAGAGAAGAAAUCAGACAUGAAUCGCGUGAAGAAAUGAGGCAUGAGAUGUGCCGAUAAAUGCAAGAGCAAGUUUACAAGAUUCUCCAGGACCGUUUGUCAACCAUCAUAGCAGGACAUCGCCAACUUAGAAAUGACUUUCCAUCAAGUAAUGAUGUGAGUUAUAUUUAGAUUAUUUAAAUUUUAAACUAUCUAUUUUAGACAUAUUUUGUGUUGUUUAUGCACUUAUUUAAAUUUAUUUUGAACUCAUUAUCUUAGAUUGUUUGGGAAUUGUUAGUUCAAGUUAUGGUUUAUAGAA